GAUGAACGCUGGCGGCGUGCUUAACACAUGCAAGUCGAACGGUGAAGGCGGAGCUUGCUCUGCUGGAUCAGUGGCGAACGGGUAAGUAACACGUGAGCAAUCUGCCCCUGACUCUGGGAUAAGCGCUGGAAACGGCGUCUAAUACUGGAUACGAGCUGCGAAGGCAUCUUCAGCAGCUGGAAAGAAUUUCGGUCAGGGAUGAGCUCGCGGCCUAUCAGCUUGUUGGUGAGGUAAUGGCUCACCAAGGCGUCGACGGGUAGCCGGCCUGAGAGGGUGACCGGCCACACUGGGACUGAGACACGGCCCAGACUCCUACGGGAGGCAGCAGUGGGGAAUAUUGCACAAUGGGCGAAAGCCUGAUGCAGCAACGCCGCGUGAGGGACGACGGCCUUCGGGUUGUAAACCUCUUUUAGCAGGGAAGAAGCGAAAGUGACGGUACCUGCAGAAAAAGCGCCGGCUAACUACGUG
RNAcentral lists this ribosomal RNA (468 nucleotides) under uncultured bacterium. Its description in RNAcentral is "partial 16S ribosomal RNA". It matches the Rfam family "Bacterial small subunit ribosomal RNA", at positions 28 to 507 of the family's 1533-position model. The record is from RNAcentral.